ACUCUCCUGCUUACAAAUCUCACAUCCAGGAUUGGAGACAUUCUACUUGAAAAAUGAUGAAAGAUGAUUUAUUUUAGACUGAAUUUAAAAUUAUUUCUUUGGAAAUGAUUGUUUAGAAAGAGAGGAAGACAAACACUCGGAAACUGAGAAGGAUGUCUGGAAAGAACAUUGUCUGGAAAAGGCCAAAAAAAGAGAAGACAUCAUUGCAUUACUGAAAAAGCAAAGGGAAGAGAGGAUAUCGAAAGAGUCCUUAUCUUAUCCACAUAAGCCAAAAAGCAGAGCGCCACAAAGGGACCAGGAAGAUGAGAGGUAAAUCUCCUGUCUGUUUUGGAGUUAUUUCAUGCAAACGAGAGAAAGAACCACGUGUUAAAGAAUUCCUGGAAUUCAAGAUGAGCCAAUUUGUCCAGGUUUUUUGCCAAGAAAUCAACCUGGGCUCUCCAUAUAUUCUCCAAAGGUUCAAAGGAGACUUUGCCUUUUCACUUUUAAAAUGACCUCUCUGAAAAAGCUGAUUUGGCCCCUUAUACUUCUCCUCUCAGCAGUUUCUGCCUUUAAUUUGUUAAUGGCUGGCAUUUUUCUCAAGGAUGACAUGGGAAAAUGCCAUUUAAGACCCAUUUUACAGUAGUUAAGGUCCUUAUUCAAACCUGGGCAUUUCUCUGGACUCCAAUUAUUUUCCUGGUGACAACCCUGAUCUAUUCAGUCAGUUAGACCCACAAAUAAGUAAGUGAGUCUUGUUGAAAUCACUUGCUUAGGCAUGAUUUGCCAGCUGACAGAUCACAUCUCAAGAGCCAGCGAGUUCCACCCACCCUGCCGGGUUUUCCAAUCGAUUCCUGUUAAACCAAGAAAUCCUGUAAAGACCUGGGGGGUGGGGGUUAAAAAAUGCCAGAGUAUUUUACAGAGUAA
Molecule: long non-coding RNA, 900 nt
Organism: Protobothrops mucrosquamatus (brown spotted pit viper)
Lineage: Eukaryota; Metazoa; Chordata; Lepidosauria; Squamata; Viperidae
Exons: 4
Source: RefSeq, a predicted model, not a curated record